RNAcentral lists this ribosomal RNA (440 nucleotides) under uncultured bacterium. Its description in RNAcentral is "partial 16S ribosomal RNA". It matches the Rfam family "Bacterial small subunit ribosomal RNA", at positions 338 to 795 of the family's 1533-position model. The record is from RNAcentral.
CCUACGGGAGGCAGCAGUAGGGAAUAUUGGGCAAUGGGCGAAACCCUGACCCAGCAACGCCGCGUGAAGGAAGAAGGCUUUCGGAUUGUAAAGCCCUUUCCUCAAGGAAGAUAAUGACGGUAUCUAAGGAGUAAGCACCGGCUAACUGCGUGCCAGCAGCCGCGGUAAUACGGAGGGGGCAAGCGUUAUCCGGAAUCACUGGGCGUAAAGGGGGCGUAGGCGGGAUAUCAAGUCAGAUGUGAAAUGCUAAGGCUUAACCAUAGUAAUGCCUUUGAAACUGUUAUUCUAGAGUAUGGGAGAGGUAGGUGGAAUUCUUGGUGUAGGGGUAAAAUGCGUAGAGAUUAAGAGGAAUACUCAUUGCGAAGGCGACCUGCUAGACUAUAACUGACGCUGAGGCGCGAAAGCGUGGGGAGCAAACAGGAUUAGAUACCCGAGUAGUC